CAGAGUUCAUGCCCCUUGGGGUAGAUCUCCCACCCAUUGUUUACAUUACCUUUGUUGCUUUGGCAGGCCCGUCUUUUGACCACUGGCUUAGGCUGGUCCGCGCUUGCCAGAGAACCCUAAACUCAUGUCUUUUGUGUUGUCCAAGUAAUAUUUAUAAUAAGUUA
This 164-nucleotide unclassified non-coding RNA is filed under the name uncultured Helotiales. Its description in RNAcentral is "sequence contains ITS1". Lineage: Eukaryota; Fungi; Ascomycota; Leotiomycetes; Helotiales. The record is from RNAcentral.